RNAcentral lists this ribosomal RNA (301 nucleotides) under uncultured bacterium. RNAcentral's name for it is "partial 16S ribosomal RNA". It matches the Rfam family "Bacterial small subunit ribosomal RNA", at positions 509 to 807 of the family's 1533-position model. The record is from RNAcentral.
CAGCAGCCACGGUAAUACGGAGGGUGCAAGCGUUAACCGGAAUUACUGGGCGUAAAGCGCACGCAGGCGGUCUGACAAGUCAGAUGUGAAAUCCCCGGGCUUAACCUGGGAAUUGCAUUUCAGACUGGGAGUCUAGAGUACCUUAGGGAGGGGUAGAAUUCCACGUGUAGCGGUGAAAUGCGUAGAGAUGUGGAGGAAUACCGAAGGCGAAGGCAGCCCCUUGGGAAUGUACUGACGCUCAUGUGCGAAAGCGUGGGGAGCAAACAGGAUUAGAUACCCCAGUAGUCCCUGUCUCUUAUAC